GCCGCUGUUCACUAAAGUCGGGCAAGCCUGUGUCUCCGUGUUCUGCCCUGGAUAUAGGAGAUGAGUUUGUGCAGCUGUGUGGGAUUGAGGAGUGCCGGGAGAAGAAUGUCGGGUGUGUGUGAGCCUUUUUACAUCAACACUCGAGAGUCAUACUACUGCCAGUGCUGGCCAUGCAGUGUACAGACUCGUGUCAGAAAGUUCAAGUGUGAAGACGUUGAUGAGUGCGUGGAGUCGCUUAGAUCCUCUCCCUGUGGACCAUCCCCUCAGCAGUGU
Long non-coding RNA from Portunus trituberculatus (swimming crab), 273 nucleotides. RefSeq lists it as uncharacterized. The record is from RefSeq and is a predicted model, not a curated record. Lineage: Eukaryota; Metazoa; Arthropoda; Malacostraca; Decapoda; Portunidae. The transcript has 3 exons.